ACCUGUUUGGCUCAGUCGGUGGAGCAUGUGACUCUUGAUCUCAGGGUUGUGAGUUCGAGACCCAUGCUGGGUA
This 73-nucleotide transfer RNA is filed under the name Canis lupus familiaris (dog). It matches the Rfam family "tRNA". From Rfam's summary of the family: Transfer RNA (tRNA) molecules are approximately 80 nucleotides in length. Their secondary structure includes four short double-helical elements and three loops (D, anti-codon, and T loops). Further hydrogen bonds mediate the characteristic L-shaped molecular structure. tRNAs have two regions of fundamental functional importance: the anti-codon, which is responsible for specific mRNA codon recognition, and the 3' end, to which the tRNAs corresponding amino acid is attached (by aminoacyl-tRNA synthetases). tRNAs cope with the degeneracy of the genetic code in two manners: having more than one tRNA (with a specific anti-codon) for a particular amino acid; and 'wobble' base-pairing, i.e. permitting non-standard base-pairing at the 3rd anti-codon position. Lineage: Eukaryota; Metazoa; Chordata; Mammalia; Carnivora; Canidae. The record is from Rfam by way of RNAcentral. RNAcentral also lists the same sequence under 1 other name.